AACGAACGCUGGCGGCAUGCCUAACACAUGCCAGUCGAACGAGACCUUCGGGUCUAGUGGCGCACGGGUGCGUAACGCGUGGGAACCUGCCCUUAGGUUCGGAAUAACUCCCCGAAAGGGGUGCUAAUACCGGAUAAUGUCUUCGGACCAAAGAUUUAUCGCCUUUGGAUGGGCCCGCGUUGGAUUAGCUAGUUGGUAGGGUAAAAGCCUACCAAGGCGACGAUCCAUAGCUGGUCUGAGAGGAUGAUCAGCCACACUGGGACUGAGACACGGCCCAGACUCCUACGGGAGGCAGCAGUGGGGAAUAUUGGACAAUGGGCGAAAGCCUGAUCCAGCAAUGCCGCGUGAGUGAUGAAGGCCUGAGGGUUGUAAAGCUCUUUUACCCGGGAUGAUAAUGACAGUACCGGGAGAAUAAGCUCCGGCUAACUCCG
Molecule: ribosomal RNA, 431 nt
Filed under: uncultured bacterium
Lineage: Bacteria
Description: partial 16S ribosomal RNA
Rfam family: Bacterial small subunit ribosomal RNA
Source: RNAcentral